Molecule: ribosomal RNA, 253 nt
Filed under: uncultured bacterium
Lineage: Bacteria
Description: partial 16S ribosomal RNA
Rfam family: Bacterial small subunit ribosomal RNA
Source: RNAcentral
UACGUAGGGGGCAAGCGUUGUCCGGAUUUAUUGGGCGUAAAGAGCGUGUAGGCGGCCAGGUAGGUGGGUUGUGAAAACUGGAGGCUCAACCUUCAGACGUCGACCCAAACCCCCUGGCUAGAGUCCGGAAGAGGAGAGUGGAAUUCCUGGUGUAGCGGUGAAGUGCGCAGAUAUCAGGAAGAACACCCGUGGCGAAAGCGGCUCUCUGGAACGGUACUGACGCUGAGACGCGAAAGCGUGGGGAGCGAACAGG